This 486-nucleotide ribosomal RNA is filed under the name uncultured bacterium. RNAcentral describes it as "partial 16S ribosomal RNA". It matches the Rfam family "Bacterial small subunit ribosomal RNA", at positions 30 to 507 of the family's 1533-position model. The record is from RNAcentral.
AUUGAACGCUGGCGGCAUGCCUUACACAUGCAAGUCGAACGGCAGCACGGGUGCUUGCACCUGGUGGCGAGUGGCGAACGGGUGAGUAAUACAUCGGAACAUGUCCUGUAGUGGGGGAUAGCCCGGCGAAAGCCGGAUUAAUACCGCAUACGAUCUACGGAUGAAAGCGGGGGACCUUCGGGCCUCGCGCUAUAGGGUUGGCCGAUGGCUGAUUAGCUAGUUGGUGGGGUAAAGGCCUACCAAGGCGACGAUCAGUAGCUGGUCUGAGAGGACGACCAGCCACACUGGGACUGAGACACGGCCCAGACUCCUACGGGAGGCAGCAGUGGGGAAUUGUGGACAAUGGGCGAAAGCCUGAUCCAGCAAUGCCGCGUGUGUGAAGAAGGCCUUCGGGUUGUAAAGCACUUUUGUCCGGAAAGAAAUCCUUGGCCCUAAUACGGUCGGGGGAUGACGGUACCGGAAGAAUAAGCACCGGCUAACUACGUG